Xenopus laevis (African clawed frog) is the source of this 640-nucleotide long non-coding RNA. RefSeq lists it as uncharacterized. The transcript is spliced from 3 exons. Lineage: Eukaryota; Metazoa; Chordata; Amphibia; Anura; Pipidae. The record is from RefSeq and is a predicted model, not a curated record.
AAAUCUCUCAUACCAGAGCCUUGGAGAUCCUUAUCAACAAAAUAAUUUUCACAGGAUUCUUCGAAGGCUCAUACGAGUAGAAAGACUCUGGCUGGUUGACAAUUCUUUGAAAGACUUGAGUGCCAUAAGAUUGCCAAGGUGCACCGAAUUAAAUUUAAGCAGAAAUUACUUUACAUCUUUUAAAAAAUUGCCAAAACUGCCUGCAAUUCAGCACCUGUCGCUAUCUGAGAAUAACAUUGAAACACUGAGUGGCCUUUCAAACUUGAAGCAUUCUCCACUGGAGUCCCUUGUACUGAAGUCCAAUCCAUGUGAGUUUUUCGAAGACUACCGGCUACAAGUGUUCUCCAUUUUGCCAAACCUGAAAACAUUAGAUGGAAUUCCAAAGCUCCCAGAGGAUUGGUCAACAGCAGAAGAAAGUAAUUUUUGGUUUAGCAAGUGUACAAUACUUUAGCGGUGUCUGUAUAAGUGCCUGAUCCUGCGCUUCAAGAGAAGUCGACUGUAAAUAUUAUUUGUAACAAUAAAAUAUUACAAUGACUAUUCUGUAUUUUGGUUGCAUCACAUUCUUUCCUAUUGAUUUUACUUGAGAAGAGAAAAAUUCUGCAGUGCUGUGUUACAUCUCUGCCGACAGAUCUACAGUACA